AACGCGAAGAACCUUACCCAGGCUUGACAUGCAGAAGACAGCGCCAGAGAUGGCGUCUCCCUUAGGGGCUUCUGCACAGGUGCUGCAUGGCUGUCGUCAGCUCGUGCCGUGAGGUGUUGGGUUAAGUCCCGCAACGAGCGCAACCCUUAUCAUUAGUUGCCAACAUUUAAGGUGGGAACUCUAAUGAGACUGCCCGGGUUAACCGGGAGGAAGGUGAGGAUGACGUCAAGUCCGCAUGGCCCUUAUGUCUGGGGCUACACACGUGCUACAAUGGUCGGUACAGAAGGCAGCGAAACCGCGAGGUGGAGCAAAUCCCAAAAACCGAUCUCAGUUCGGAUUGUAGUCUGCAACUCGACUACAUGAAGAUGGAAUUGCUAGUAAUGGCGUGUCAGCAACAACGCCGUGAAUACGUACUCGGGCCUUGUACACACCGCACGA
RNAcentral lists this ribosomal RNA (438 nucleotides) under uncultured bacterium. RNAcentral describes it as "bacterial SSU rRNA". It matches the Rfam family "Bacterial small subunit ribosomal RNA", at positions 958 to 1397 of the family's 1533-position model. The record is from RNAcentral.